RNAcentral lists this ribosomal RNA (511 nucleotides) under uncultured bacterium. RNAcentral describes it as "bacterial SSU rRNA". It matches the Rfam family "Bacterial small subunit ribosomal RNA", at positions 19 to 518 of the family's 1533-position model. The record is from RNAcentral.
CUGGCUCAGGAUGAACGCUAGCUACAGGCUUAACACAUGCAAGUCGAGGGGCAGCAGGACAAUAGCUUGCUAUGUUGCUGGCGACCGGCGCACGGGUGAGUAACGCGUAUCCAACCUACCCCGCGGUCAGGGACAGCCCGGCGAAAGUCGGAUUAAUACCUGAUGCAGUCAGAAGAGGGCAUCUGAUUUUGACGAAAGAUUCAUCGCCUCGGGAUGGGGAUGCGUAGGAUUAGGCAGGCGGCGGGGUAACGGCCCACCGCGCCGACGAUCCUUAGGGGUUCUGAGAGGAAGGUCCCCCCACACUGGUACUGAGACACGGACCAGACUCCUACGGGAGGCAGCAGUGAGGAAUAUUGGUCAAUGGGCGGUAGCCUGAACCAGCCAAGUAGCCGUGCAGGACGACGGCCCUAUGGGUUGUAAACUGCUUUUAUGCGGGGAUAAAGUGCGGCACGUGUGCCGUUUUGUAGGUACCGCAUGAAUAAGGACCGGCUAAUUCCGUGCCAGCCGCCGC